UAGGGAAUCUUCGGCAAUGGGGGGAACCCUGACCGAGCAACGCCGCGUGAGUGAAGAAGGUUUUCGGAUCGUAAAGCUCUGUUGUUAAGGAAGAACGAGUGUGAGAAUGGAAAGUUCAUGCUGUGACGGUACUUAACCAGAAAGGGACGGCUAACUACGUGCCAGCAGCCGCGGUAAUACGUAGGUCCCGAGCGUUGUCCGGAUUUAUUGGGCGUAAAGCGAGCGCAGGCGGUUAGAAAAGUCUGAAGUGAAAGGCAGUGGCUCAACCAUUGUAGGCUUUGGAAACUGUUUAACUUGAGUGCAGAAGGGGAGAGUGGAAUUCCAUGUGUAGCGGUGAAAUGCGUAGAUAUAUGGAGGAACACCAGUAGCGAAGGCGACUUUCUGGUCUGUAACUGACGCUGAUGUGCGAAAGCGUGGGGAUCAAACAGG
Molecule: ribosomal RNA, 429 nt
Filed under: Bacteroidota bacterium
Lineage: Bacteria; Pseudomonadati; Bacteroidota
Description: Bacteroidetes bacterium partial 16S ribosomal RNA
Rfam family: Bacterial small subunit ribosomal RNA
Source: RNAcentral